GCAAACUUGGUCAUUUAGAGGAAGUAAAAGUCGUAACAAGGUUUCCGUAGGUGAACCUGCGGAAGGAUCAUUAUCGAGUUUUGAAAUGGGUUGUAGCUGGCCUUCCGAGGCAUGUGCACGCCCUGCUCAUCCACUCUACACCUGUGCACUUACUGUAGGCUUCAGGAGCUUCACGGGCUUUCAUUAGUCCGGGUUGUAACUGGGCUUACGUUUACUACAAACUCUUAUAAAGUAUCAGAAUGUGUAUUGCGAUGUAACGCAUCUAUAUACAACUUUCAGCAACGGAUCUCUUGGCUCUCGCAUCGAUGAAGAACGCAGC
This 319-nucleotide unclassified non-coding RNA is filed under the name uncultured fungus. RNAcentral's name for it is "partial contains small subunit ribosomal RNA, internal transcribed spacer 1, and 5.8S ribosomal RNA". The stretch from base 1 to 73 matches the Rfam family "Eukaryotic small subunit ribosomal RNA", at positions 1759 to 1831 of the family's 1831-position model. The record is from RNAcentral. Lineage: Eukaryota; Fungi.